MicroRNA precursor from Propithecus coquereli (Coquerel's sifaka), 87 nucleotides. Ensembl annotates it as microRNA 212. Its record names the gene MIR212. Lineage: Eukaryota; Metazoa; Chordata; Mammalia; Primates; Indriidae. The record is from Ensembl.
GGGGCAGCCCGCCCGGACAGCGCGCCGGCACCUUGGCUGUAGACUGCUUACUGCCUGGGCCGCCCUCAGUAACAGUCUCCAGUCACG